GAUGAACGCUGGCGGCGUGCCUAAUACAUGCAAGUCGAACGAAACUUCUUUAUCACCGAGUGCUUGCACUCACCGAUAAAGAGUUGAGUGGCGAACGGGUGAGUAACACGUGGGCAACCUGCCCAAAAGAGGGGGAUAACACUUGGAAACAGGUGCUAAUACCGCAUAACCAUAGUUACCGCAUGGUAACUAUGUAAAAGGUGGCUAUACUACCGCUUUUGGAUGGGCCCGCGGCGCAUUAGCUAGUUGGUAGGGUAAAGGCUUACCAAGGCAAUGAUGCGUAGCCGAAUUGAGAGGUUGAUCGGCCACAUUGGGACUGAGACACGGCCCAACCUCCUACGGGAGGCAGCAGUAGGGAAUCUUCCACAAUGGGCGAAAGCCUGAUGGAGCAACGCCGCGUGGGUGAAGAAGGUCUUCGGAUCGUAAAACCCUGUUGUUAGAGAAGAAAGUGCGUGAGAGUAACUGUUCACGUUUCGACGGUAUCUAACCGGAAAGCCACGGCUAACUACGUG
RNAcentral lists this ribosomal RNA (512 nucleotides) under uncultured bacterium. RNAcentral's name for it is "partial 16S ribosomal RNA". It matches the Rfam family "Bacterial small subunit ribosomal RNA", at positions 28 to 507 of the family's 1533-position model. The record is from RNAcentral.